RNAcentral lists this transfer RNA (76 nucleotides) under Candidatus Latescibacterota bacterium. Its description in RNAcentral is "tRNA-Lys". It matches the Rfam family "tRNA". From Rfam's summary of the family: Transfer RNA (tRNA) molecules are approximately 80 nucleotides in length. Their secondary structure includes four short double-helical elements and three loops (D, anti-codon, and T loops). The record is from RNAcentral. RNAcentral also lists the same sequence under 1 other name. Lineage: Bacteria; Pseudomonadati; Candidatus Latescibacterota.
GUGCCGGUAGCUCAGCUGGUAGAGCAGGGGCCUUUUAAGCCCAAGGUCGCGGGUUCGAGCCCCGCCCGGCACACCA